This 229-nucleotide unclassified non-coding RNA is filed under the name plant metagenome. RNAcentral describes it as "partial contains small subunit ribosomal RNA, internal transcribed spacer 1, and 5.8S ribosomal RNA". The record is from RNAcentral.
UCUCCGUAGGUGAACCUGCGGAGGGAUCAUUAACGAGUUCCCCUUAAACGGGUAGAAUUCCCACCCUAUGUUUCAUUACCUUUGUUGCUUUGGCGGGCCGUCUCGGCCUCGGUCAGGCUACCGGCCCCGGCUGGUAAGCGCCCGCCAGAGGACCUCAAACUCUGAAUAUUAGUGUCGUCUGAGUACUAUAUAAUAGUUAAAACUUUCAACAACGGAUCUCUUGGUUCUG